This 498-nucleotide ribosomal RNA is filed under the name uncultured bacterium. RNAcentral describes it as "bacterial SSU rRNA". It matches the Rfam family "Bacterial small subunit ribosomal RNA", at positions 903 to 1397 of the family's 1533-position model. The record is from RNAcentral.
AAAGGAAUUGACGGGGACCCGCACAAGCGGUGGAGCAUGUGGAUUAAUUCGAUACUAACCGAAGAACCUUACCCAGAUUUGACAUCGAUUGCAACACUAAGAGAUUAGUGCCUCUCCCACAAGGAGACAUGAAGACACUUGUUGCAUGGCUGUCGUCAGCUCGUGCCGUGAGGUGUACGGUUAAGUCCGCCAACGAGCGCAACCCUCGUCCUAUGUUGCCAGCGAGUAAAGUCGGGAACUCAUAGGAGACCGCCGGUGUAAAUCGGAGGAAGGUGAGGAUGACGUCAAGUCAGCAUGGCAGUUACGUCUGGGGCUUCACACAUGCUACAAUGGGCGCAACAAAGGGCAGCAAAACCGCGAGGUGGAGCCAAUCCCAAAAAUACGCCCUCAGUUCAGAUUGCAGUCUGCAACUCGACUGCAUGAAGGCGGAAUCGCUAGUAAACGCAGGUCAGCUAUACUGCGUUGAAUACGUUCCCGGGUCUUGUACACACCGCCCGU